Molecule: ribosomal RNA, 496 nt
Filed under: uncultured bacterium
Lineage: Bacteria
Description: bacterial SSU rRNA
Rfam family: Bacterial small subunit ribosomal RNA
Source: RNAcentral
CUCAAGGAAUUGACGGAGGGGCGCACAAGCGGUGGAGCAUGUGGUUUAAUUCGACGCAACGCGAAGAACCUUACCUGGCCUUGACAUCCAGAGAACUUUCCAGAGAUGGAUUGGUGCCUUCGGGAACUCUGAGACAGGUGCUGCAUGGCCGUCGUCAGCUCGUGUCGUGAGAUGUUGGGUUAAGUCCCGUAACGAGCGCAACCCCUAUCCCUGGUUGCUAGCAGGUAAUGCUGAGAACUCCAGGGAGACUGCCGGUGACAAACCGGAGGAAGGUGGGGAUGACGUCAGGUCAUCAUGGCCCUUACGGCCAGGGCUACACACGUGCUACAAUGGCGCGUACAGAGGGCUGCGAAGCCGCGAGGUGGAGCUAAUCUCAUAAAGCCGGUCGUAGUCCGGAUUGGAGUCUGCAACUCGACUCCAUGAAGUCGGAAUCGCUAGUAAUCGUGGAUCAGAAUGCCACGGUGAAUACGUUCCCGGGCCUUGCACACACCGCCCG